Molecule: ribosomal RNA, 107 nt
Filed under: uncultured bacterium
Lineage: Bacteria
Description: partial 16S ribosomal RNA
Rfam family: Bacterial small subunit ribosomal RNA
Source: RNAcentral
CCGUUGCACACACCGCCCGUCACACCACGAAAGUCGGCAACACCCGAAGUCAGUGGCCCAACCCGCAAGGGAGGGAGCUGCCGAAGGUGGGGUUGGUGAUUGGGGUG